AAAGAAUGUAGUUUUAUGUGUUUGUGUCUAACGUUUGACUGUUCGUUUUAUUUGAAUUUUUUUUAAUUGAUAUUUUUAUUGUUAUUAGAUGAUAAAACAUGAAUAAUACUUUAAACAUGACUAGCUUUUAUUAAUUUUUUCAUAAACUUUUCAAAUAAGACUGAUGAUCAAAAGUUGGAUACGAAAACCCAUGACUGUACUUAAA
Molecule: non-coding RNA, 205 nt
Organism: Oryza punctata
Lineage: Eukaryota; Viridiplantae; Streptophyta; Magnoliopsida; Poales; Poaceae
Source: Rfam